GUGCAGCAGUCGAGAAACCUUCACAAUGCACGAAAGUGUGAUGAGGGUACUCCGAGUGCGCAUACAUUGUAUGUGCUUUUCUGCAGCGUAAAUAGUUGCAGGAAUAAGGGCUGGGCAAGACCGGUGCCAGCCGCCGCGGUAACACCGGCAGCCCUAGUGGUGGCCGCUUUUAUUGGGCCUAAAGCGUCCGUAGCCGGACAGGCGAGUCUUUGGGUAAAUCCUACGUCUUAAGCGUGGGAACUCUAAAGAUACUACCUGUCUUGAGGCCGGGAGAGGCUGGAGGUACUCCUGGGGUAGGGGUAAAAUCCUAUAAUCCUGGGGGGACCACCGAUGGCGAAGGCAUCCAGCUGGAACGGGCCUGACGGUGAGGGACGAAACCCAGGGGAGCGAGCCGGAUUAGAUACCCGAGUAGUCC
RNAcentral lists this ribosomal RNA (415 nucleotides) under Methanothermobacter sp. enrichment culture. RNAcentral describes it as "bacterial SSU rRNA". It matches the Rfam family "Archaeal small subunit ribosomal RNA", at positions 330 to 747 of the family's 1478-position model. Lineage: Archaea; Methanobacteriati; Methanobacteriota; Methanobacteria; Methanobacteriales; Methanobacteriaceae. The record is from RNAcentral.